RNAcentral lists this long non-coding RNA (306 nucleotides) under Brachypodium distachyon (stiff brome). Its description in RNAcentral is "long non-coding RNA (BDIS_LNC000483)". Lineage: Eukaryota; Viridiplantae; Streptophyta; Magnoliopsida; Poales; Poaceae. The record is from RNAcentral.
CGGCUUCGGGCGGUGGGGUUUUAUGCCUGCGAAUUAGGCAAUCAAUUCCGCCCCCAGGCCCCCAGCUUUAAUUUGUUGGUGCCAGCAGACACUUUAUCCCGCCGGUUUUCCUCAGCGAGAGCUGUCAUCUGGGGCGCGGAUCGACGAAAAGAGUAAACCACGGACGGUAUCUCGGCCGAGGGCGAGCUGGGAAAGCAGAGCAAACGCAAAGCUCGCACGGUGGGAUUUGUGGACGUGCGGUGUAGCCUUUUUUGAACCCGCGCGCCAGGGGAUGGAACGGAUGGGAUGCGCCUGGGCUUAUUUGGC